UACAGAGGUGGCAAGCGUUGUUCGGAAUUACUGGGCGUAAAGGGCGCGUAGGCGGCCUUCUAAGUCAGACGUGAAAUCCCCCGGCUUAACCUGGGAACUGCGUCUGAUACUGGAAGGCUUGAGUGCGGGAGAGGGAUGUGGAAUUCCAGGUGUAGCGGUGAAAUGCGUAGAUAUCUGGAGGAACACCGGUGGCGAAGGCGGCAUCCUGGACCGACACUGACGCUGAGGCGCGAAAGCCAGGGGAGCAAACGGG
RNAcentral lists this ribosomal RNA (253 nucleotides) under uncultured bacterium. RNAcentral's name for it is "partial 16S ribosomal RNA". It matches the Rfam family "Bacterial small subunit ribosomal RNA", at positions 524 to 776 of the family's 1533-position model. The record is from RNAcentral.